AUGCGCGCCGGCGCGGGCGUCUCUGGGACCGGAAGUGCGGGCGAGCGCGGGUCCCCGGGUCUGACAGGAGCAGCCUGCGGGCACCGCGGCGGUGAUUGGAGGCGGGAGAGGGUCCGGAGGUGGGAGAGGGUCCGUAGCCGCGCCGCCCUGCCCCGCCAUGGGCCUCCUGUCGGACCCGGUUCGCCGGCGCGCGCUCGCCCGCCUCGUGCUGCGCCUCAACGCGCCGCUGUGCGUGCUGAGCUACGUGGCGGGCAUCGCCUGGUUCUUGGCGCUGGUUUUCCCGCCGCUGACCCAGCGCACUUACAUGUCGGAGAACGCCAUGGGCUCCACCAUGGUGGAGGAGCAGUUUGCGGGCGGAGACCGCGCCCGGGCUUUUGCCCGGGACUUCGCUGCCCACCGCAAGAAGUCGGGGGCUCUGCCAGUGGCCUGGCUUGAACGGACGAUGCGGUCAGUAGGGCUGGAGGUCUACACGCAGAGUUUCUCCCGGAAACUGCCCUUCCCAGAUGAGACCCACGAGCGCUAUGUAUUGGGGGAGUGGGAUGGUGUCAGGCACCAAUGUGUACGGCAUCCUGCGG
Molecule: small RNA, 575 nt
Filed under: Pongo abelii (Sumatran orangutan)
Lineage: Eukaryota; Metazoa; Chordata; Mammalia; Primates; Hominidae
Description: processed transcript
Source: RNAcentral